RNAcentral lists this ribosomal RNA (505 nucleotides) under uncultured bacterium. RNAcentral describes it as "partial 16S ribosomal RNA". It matches the Rfam family "Bacterial small subunit ribosomal RNA", at positions 28 to 507 of the family's 1533-position model. The record is from RNAcentral.
GACGAACGCUGGCGGCGUGCCUAAUACAUGCAAGUAGAACGCACAGUUUAUACCGUAGCUUGCUACACCAUAAACUGUGAGUUGCGAACGGGUGAGUAACGCGUAGGUAACCUGCCUGGUAGCGGGGGAUAACUAUUGUAAACGAUAGCUAAUACCGCAUAAUAUUAAUUAUUGCAUGAUAAUUGAUUGAAAGAUGCAAUUGCAUCACUACCAGAUGGACCUGCGUUGUAUUAGCUAGUAGGUGAGGUAACGGCUCACCUAGGCGACGAUACAUAGCCGACCUGAGAGGGUGAUCGGCCACACUGGGACUGAGACACGGCCCAGACUCCUACGGGAGGCAGCAGUAGGGAAUCUUCGGCAAUGGACGAAAGUCUGACCGAGCAACGCCGCGUGAGUGAAGAAGGGUUUCGGAUCGUAAAGCUCUGUUGUAAGAGAAGAACGGGUGUGAGAGUGGAAAGUUCACACUGUGACGGUAUCUUACCAGAAAGGGACGGCUAACUACGUG